RNAcentral lists this ribosomal RNA (1479 nucleotides) under cyanobacterium 5X15. RNAcentral describes it as "bacterial SSU rRNA". It matches the Rfam family "Bacterial small subunit ribosomal RNA". Lineage: Bacteria; Bacillati; Cyanobacteriota; Cyanophyceae; Synechococcales; Synechococcaceae. The record is from RNAcentral.
AGAGUUUGAUCCUGGCUCAGGAUGAACGCUGGCGGCGUGCUUAACACAUGCAAGUCGAACGAACCUUCGGGUUAGUGGCGGACGGGUGAGUAACGCGUGAGAAUCUGCCCUCAGGAGGGGGAUAACAGCUGGAAACGGCUGCUAAUACCCCAUAUGCCGCGAGGUGAAAUGAAUUUCGCCUGAGGAUGAGCUCGCGUCUGAUUAGCUAGUUGGUGUAGGUAAUGGCUCACCAAGGCGUCGAUCAGUAGCUGGUCUGAGAGGAUGAUCAGCCACACUGGGACUGAGACACGGCCCAGACUCCUACGGGAGGCAGCAGUGGGGAAUUUUCCGCAAUGGGCGCAAGCCUGACGGAGCAACGCCGCGUGAGGGAUGAAGGCCUCUGGGCUGUAAACCUCUUUUAUCAAGGAAGAAGAUCUGACGGUACUUGAUGAAUAAGCCACGGCUAAUUCCGUGCCAGCAGCCGCGGUAAUACGGGAGUGGCAAGCGUUAUCCGGAAUUAUUGGGCGUAAAGCGUCCGCAGGCGGCCCUUCAAGUCUGCUGUUAAAAAGUGGAGCUUAACUCCAUCAUGGCAGUGGAAACUGAGGGGCUUGAGUGUGGUAGGGGCAGAGGGAAUUCCCGGUGUAGCGGUGAAAUGCGUAGAUAUCGGGAAGAACACCAGUGGCGAAGGCGCUCUGCUGGGCCAUCACUGACGCUCAUGGACGAAAGCCAGGGGAGCGAAAGGGAUUAGAUACCCCUGUAGUCCUGGCCGUAAACGAUGAACACUAGGUGUCGGGGGAAUCGACCCCCUCGGUGUCGUAGCCAACGCGUUAAGUGUUCCGCCUGGGGAGUACGCACGCAAGUGUGAAACUCAAAGGAAUUGACGGGGGCCCGCACAAGCGGUGGAGUGUGUGGUUUAAUUCGAUGCAACGCGAAGAACCUUACCAGGGUUUGACAUCCUGCGAAUCUCUUGGAAACGAGAGAGUGCCUUCGGGAGCGCAGUGACAGGUGGUGCAUGGCUGUCGUCAGCUCGUGUCGUGAGGUGUUGGGUUAAGUCCCGCAACGAGCGCAACCCACGUCUUUAGUUGCCAGCAUUUAGUUGGGCACUCUAGAGAGACCGCCGGUGAUAAACCGGAGGAAGGUGUGGAUGACGUCAAGUCAUCAUGCCCCUUACAUCCUGGGCUACACACGUACUACAAUGCUACGGACAAAGGGCAGCAAGUUCGCGAGGACAAGCAAAUCCCAUAAACCGUGGCUCAGUUCAGAUCGUAGGCUGCAACUCGCCUACGUGAAGGAGGAAUCGCUAGUAAUCGCAGGUCAGCAUACUGCGGUGAAUACGUUCCCGGGCCUUGUACACACCGCCCGUCACACCAUGGAAGUUGGCCACGCCCGAAGCCGUUACUCCAACCCUUGUGGAGGAGGACGUCGAAGGUGGGGCUGAUGACUGGGGUGAAGUCGUAACAAGGUAUCCGUACCGGAAGGUGCGGAUGGAUCACCUCCUAA